UACGGAGGAUGCAAGCGUUAUCCGGAAUUAUUGGGCGUAAAGCGUCCGCAGGUGGUCUUUCAAGUCUGUUGUCAAAGACCGUAGCUUAACUACGGAAAGGCAGUGAAAACUGAAAAACUAGAGACCAGUAGGGGUAGCGGGAAUUCCCAGUGUAGCGGUGAAAUGCGUAGAGAUUGGGAAGAACAUCGGUGGCGAAAGCGCGCUACUGGGCUGGGUCUGACACUGAGGGACGAAAGCUAGGGGAGCGAAA
This 250-nucleotide ribosomal RNA is filed under the name uncultured bacterium. RNAcentral describes it as "partial 16S ribosomal RNA". It matches the Rfam family "Bacterial small subunit ribosomal RNA", at positions 524 to 773 of the family's 1533-position model. The record is from RNAcentral.